GACAACAGCUCAGCGGUUAUAUACUCGCUUCAGAAGCGAUAGGUCGGUGGUUCGAUACCACCAGGGCGUCG
This is a non-coding RNA of Phytophthora infestans T30-4, 71 nucleotides long. The record is from the annotation of a RefSeq genome assembly. NCBI's taxonomy places the organism in Eukaryota, Oomycota, Peronosporomycetes, Peronosporales, Peronosporaceae.